AGCGUAUUUAUUCAUACAUGUAGAAUCUAUAAUCUUCGAAUAAUUGUUAUAAAAUGUGUAGCUUAAAAGAUUUCCUAGGCAAUUGUGACAACUGCAGUGACGACAGGUAUUUUUGAAACCGCUUUCAUUUUAAAAGAGACAUGUAUAAUUUUUUGUCAGAAAUUUUCUUACUUAAAUCUGACAUUCCAUUGUACACCACAACUGAGGACCUGUGAUAUUCAUAGAAAUGUUAUCAUCGAAACA
Molecule: long non-coding RNA, 243 nt
Filed under: Mytilus galloprovincialis (Mediterranean mussel)
Lineage: Eukaryota; Metazoa; Mollusca; Bivalvia; Mytilida; Mytilidae
Source: RNAcentral